GCGACACUGUGUGUUGUUGGGUAGGGGAGCGUUCUGUAAGCCUGUGAAGGUGUACUGUGAGGUAUGCUGGAGGUAUCAGAAGUGCGAAUGCUGACAUAAGUAACGAUAAAGCGGGUGAAAAGCCCGCUCGCCGGAAGACCAAGGGUUCCUGUCCAACGUUAAUCGGGGCAGGGUGAGUCGACCCCUAAGGCGAGGCCGAAAGGCGUAGUCGAUGGGAAACAGGUUAAUAUUCCUGUACUUGGUGUUACUGCGAAGGGGGGACGGAGAAGGCUAUGUUGGCCGGGCGACGGUUGUCCCGGUUUAAGCGUGUAGGCUGGUUUUCCAGGCAAAUCCGGAAAAUCAAGGCUGAGGCGUGAUGACGAGGCACUACGGUGCUGAAGCAACAAAUGCCCUGCUUCCAGGAAAAGCCUCUAAGCAUCAGGUAACAUCAAAUCGUACCCCAAACCGACACAGGUGGUCAGGUAGAGAAUACCAAGGCGCUUGAGAGAACUCGGGUGAAGGAACUAGGCAAAAUGGUGCCGUAACUUCGGGAGAAGG
Molecule: ribosomal RNA, 537 nt
Filed under: Escherichia coli
Lineage: Bacteria; Pseudomonadati; Pseudomonadota; Gammaproteobacteria; Enterobacterales; Enterobacteriaceae
Description: partial 23S ribosomal RNA
Rfam family: Bacterial large subunit ribosomal RNA
Source: RNAcentral